Molecule: ribosomal RNA, 540 nt
Filed under: uncultured archaeon
Lineage: Archaea
Description: bacterial SSU rRNA
Rfam family: Archaeal small subunit ribosomal RNA
Source: RNAcentral
AGCCGCCGCGGUAAUACCCGCGCCCCGAGUGGUGGUCGAUAUUAUUGAGCCUAAAACGUCCGUAGCCGGUCUUUAAAUCCUUGGGUAAAUCGGGUAGCUUAACUAUCCGAAUUCCGGGGAGACUGAAAGACUUGGGACCGGGAGAGGUCAGAGGUACUUCUGGGGUAGGGGGUAAAAUCCUGUAAUCCUGGAAGGACCCACCGGUGGCGAAGGCGUCUGACUAGAACGGAUCCGACGGUGAGGGACGAAGCCCUGGGGCGCAAACGGGAUUAGAUACCCCGGUAGUCCAGGGUGUAAACGCUGCGGGCUUGGUGUUGGGGGUCCUUUGUGGGCGCCCAGUGCCGGAGAGAAGUUGUUAAGCCUGCUGCUUGGGGAGUAUGUCCGCAAGGAUGAAACUUAAAGGAAUUGGCGGGGGAGCACCGCAACGGGGAAGGGGCGUGCGGUUCAAUUGGAUUCAACGACCGAAAACUCACCAGGAGCGACGGAUAUAUGAAGGUCAAGCUGAUGACUUUACCUGAUUUUCCGAGUGGAGGUGCAUGG